CGCCGGCCCCGCCCCCGGGCCCAUCCCAAGAUGGCGGAAAUUCCCCCGGUACUUUGUGGACUUGCCGGAUGACUUAGACGAUUAUGGAUUUGAGGAGUUCGGGCCAGAUGGUCACCGCACGAAGGUGACAGCCUUCUCGGACAUUCCGGACCAGGACAACCUGCCACCGCUCACUUGCCUGGAAGAGUCCACUUUCAGCGAUAGCAUCUUCAAGCCGUUAGAAAAUGAAGUCAGGAAGUGUUGUUGGUUCUUCUGGAGCAAGACCUAAUUUUCCAGCACGAUGUUGAAAACACGGUGUGUCCCCGACGGCGAGGAUGAGUCCAGAGCAGAAGCCGCGAACGCUGGCUUCAGUGCUGAGCAAGGGCAGAGCUGAACGCCUGCUGCUCCCUGGGUUCUGUGAACUCUGUGCUGAUGGGAAGCUCUUUCACGUUCGGAAGGUGCUCCAGGCUGCCUUCCAGGCCCGAGGCCCCUUCAUCUCCACCUUUGCAAACCCUUCUAGGGCUGGCCCUUAUAUUCGAGGGGACGGCACCCUCCGACCACGGGCUCCAGAUUUGGACUCGGGCUUCACCCCCGCGUCCCCCAGCAGGGGCAGCGGUGGCAGCGCGUCCUCAGCUGGGAAAAUGUGAGGUCUCCCCAGAAGACUUCUGUGCCAUAGGAUCUUACGUGCAUGGAGAGGUGACAUUGCUGAACCACUGUUAGUGGGCCCUGCGCUGUGUUCCUAGGAAAACCUUGGGAACCGAAGGUUCUGGUAGCGGGCCUCGGAGCAGACGGAGCAUCUGUCCGGGUAUUAAUCGACUUUCCCGGAUUGCAUAUUGAGCUGAUUCGUCAGGAUCCAUGAAGCUAGUGGACAGUAUGACAUUUCAAGUGCGAGGAGGAAGGUCCAUGCUAUGGUCGAAGGAGAAGGUUCAGCAGCAAACACCAGAAGUGUUUGUACACGUGAAAACUCAGAAGAGCUUGCUCCGCGAAUCCUCUUGGACUGGCCACGCUGUCUCCCUCCGUCUCCGUGGUCCCUCCCCCGCCUCUCCGCCCCCUGUCUGGAGUCUGGCCUUGCUGCCCCCUCCAGCCCCGGGGAGCUCCUGGAGGUGCUCGCUCGCUUGCUGCUUCUGGCCAGCAUCACCCUGCCUUCUGGAGCCGUCUCUGCUUUGAACAUGCGACUCUUACUUAAGGGCAUUGGUCAGCCACCCCGGGGACCCUGGGGCUUCAAGAAGGGGUCCAGGCCAGCCCUGCAGAGGAGCCAGUGACCAUCGGGAGGCUGGCCAGAGGCGUGACGCUGCCCCACUUGAAGAGAAUAAAUCUAAAUUACAGAGAAAAAGCUAAGUGGCUGAUGUCUUGGGAAGCCUGAGUCCCGUCAGUUGGCAAGAAGCGGCGAGGAGCAGAGGGAAGGGGCUGCAGCCGUCUCGCUGGGGCAGUUACAAGAAAAGAGGAGACAGGUGCCAUUGGCCAGAGCUGUGUGCGUCGGGCUAACCCAACGCCGACCCUCUGGACUGGGCUCUGGGAUAGCAAGCGCUGGGCCGAUUUCAGAGAGAUGAAUGCAGGCAUCGCUUUAACUGUGGGCCACGUGGAAAUCUCACUCCCUGCAAAGCAAGACGCUCGCCCCGCCCAGCCCCGAGCUUCGGGGAGGCCUCCUGCCCUCGUGGAGGACAGAGCGCCUCACCCGCUGCCCCAUCACCGUCAGUACGAUCAGUAUGUGUCCACGACCGACCCGGCUCGAGCCCAGACCGUCGAUACCGACAUAGCCAAACACUGCGCCUCCAGUCUGCCGGCGGUGGCACUUGCCCUGGGCAGGCCCCAUUGGCACUCCCUCAAGGACACCUACGAGACGCUGGCUUCCGAUGUGCAGAGACGGCCUCCGGCUCUUGGUGACACUGAGUUGUGCUUUUGCCUUUGUGGUCGGUGUGUCUGCUGUGCGCCCCCAGCGGAAGGUACGUCGGACCCUGGCCUUCUCUGUCCACGAGCCGGCUGUCAUCCUCGGCAAUCAGCUCACGGCCGCCGACCGGGUGCCCAUCUUCAACGGAUUUUUAAAGGACCUGGAUGCAGUGCGCACAGGCGUUCUUAGGCACCUGUGUGCCUUUCUAAAGGUAGGAAGAAGGAUUGAAAGCAACAGACUCCCCGCUUCAGCACCGUUGUUUAAACCCCUGCAUAUGUAAGGUAUCAGUGAAAAAAACAAAAGGCAGCUGUCUGGGUUUUUUCCAGUUGAAACAGAUCAUCCCGACCCUAAAGUGGGUGUUCUUUCAGCGAUGGGUGGCUAUUUUUUAUAGCUUUCCUCCUAAUCGCCCUGGCCCUUGGAGCUCUAAUUCCACGGAGGCUGGUAGACAGAUGGCCCAGCACACUGCAAGAAAGAAGGACUGGGCUCCCUGGGGGUGUGUGACGUGCCGGCGGUCAGCUAAGAGAAGAGCCCUCUGAAAUCCAGUCUCAGCUCUGCACGAAGGACUCUUUCUUACAAGACGUUGCUGCUUCCCUGCUUGCCAUUUUUUUUUGUCCCCCCAAAGGAAUGAUGAGUGUGAAAGUAAGAGUUAAAAUGACCCAGGGAAGCUAAUUACUCGCAUCCUCACGACCAAGAGCUGCCCUUGAUGGGCUCUGGUACGUGCUGUGGCGCCCAAGCAGGAGCGCGGGGCAGCGUCGCCUCCCCGGGAGGCAGCCGUGGCAUUAUCUUGCGAGCACACACGUGCUGGCUUGUUUUUCAGGCAGGAAAUUAUGAAAGAAGGCCGAGUGGGGGGCAUGUGGAGACACACACAAGCGCAUGCACUGGCCAGGGGAGAGGGGUGGAGGCGUGCAGGGCUGCACCUGACGGCUGUUAAGAGCAAAGCUAAUACACAGCCAGGCGGGGUAAUGGAGCCCGAGGCGUCAGGGCAUGGUUCUUGCCGGUGACAGAUGUAGGAUCUGAGGUAUAAUAGCACAGCACACUGGGGGACAUGUGGAAGGAUUAUAUAUUUUUCUCUACAUAUACAUUUUUAAAAAAUAGUCGCUUCAUGAAGACAAGAGGAGAGAAUGCCUUUAUCAGCUUCAGGCAUUUGCAGUGACCCAUAACAGCAGGAAUUGGAGGUUUCCAUGUGACCUGGCAGAGGACGUAAAACCUGUUUGGGGCUAUGAGAAGGCAAAUUGGAAUAAUUCUUAAUUUUCCUACCUUAUAAUUGAUUUCUAAAGCAGCAGUAAUGGUGUUCUUUGGGAUAAAGAGAUUAUGUUUUUAUUAAGGGAUAAACUGAAUUCCAAAGCUCGAAGUUCCAAAUACCACAGUCUCCGGAGACAUUCAUUUUCAGAGGCAGACAGGGCGAGAGUCACUUUGGAAUUAGAGUGUUCUGCUGUUCUAGAAGGCAAUUUAUUCGAACCAAAUAAAAGAUGAAUCACCCGCUCUUCAAUAUUCUCCUCUUAAUCGGAGCAGUUUUUUGCCAGAGCUUUCUUGAACAUUCUGAGUGCAGCCCCUCCCUGCAAAGGGGGGUGGCGUGGCUUCUACAUUUCAGCUCCUAAAGAAAAUUCUGCUACAGGGAGAGAUACGAAAAGGUCUAACCCAGAUGAGCUGAUUAUUAAAUAAAAACGUCCCCCAAGGAGGCUCAGAUCUGUACAUCAUUUUGUGUGCGAAAGAGUCAUUUAAUUCCAUUUCGUGCAGGCAAGAGGAAUGCUAUGAAGGGUUUAGGGAUUCUGAAAGGGCAAAAGCGUCACUUUAAGUAAUUCUCCUUUCCGAGGCUCUGAUGUGCUCUCCGCAGUACUGAGGGGGUUUGUGUGUGCGUGAUGUUGUUGUUUGGGUUUUAGUUUUCACCUUGCCGAGAUUUAUUUCAGUAUCUCUGGUUUUCAUUUUUCUUGUCCUCAACUAGCAAUCUCUCGAAUAAUUGUCUUCCCUGUAGAAACCCAUCAAGCUUUUGCAGCUCUUCAGGAUAUGAUGUGGCCGAUGCCGGGGGCAAACUAAAAGAUUUUCUCUUCGCUGUGAUCCUUAAUCAUUAUGCUUAAUUUGAGAGAUUGAGGCUUCAGUCAUUAUGCCAUGUUCCCGGCGUAUUAUUAUUCUAAGAGAACGGAGAAAAACAGGCCCACGUUUUUUUCCAUGAAGGCAUCGCGCCCUCUAGCGGCAGAACUCGGGAACUCGGCGAGGUCCGUCUCGAGCUGGGCUGGCCCGCUUGCCCGGGGAUGGAGGCCCCGGACGGGAUGGGGAUGGGGACGGGGAUGGGGUCGGCGCGGGCGGUGGGCACGGAGCCCGGCCCCGGGGACCAGGAUGGGAACGGGGACCCGGGAUGGAGUCGGACCUGGGGACCGACUGGCCCGCUUCCGCGGCCGGGGACCGGGGACGGGGACACAAGGACGUUGACGAUGUGGAACCCGAGCCGGUGCCGGCUGCGAUGACCCGCUUCCAGGGGCCCGGCCGGGCCGGCUCGUUUCGCCCCGACGGCGUUAUCUGCGGGCGCGGGCUAUCUCACAUCUCUGCGGUGGUUAUUGAUGCCAAAGCCACUGAUAGGAAUGCUGUGCUUCCGUGACCAUGAUAUUGGCAUCAUUUUUCUGAAAACAGUGCCUUUCGAUAUGAAAGUAUUCACCGGUACUCCUGGCUUCUGGUUCUAACUUCCCUACAAUCUCUUUUUCAUUUCCUUUCUAUGCCAGUGUGGAAAUAAUGCCAUUUAUUUUCAUACGCUUCUCCCCAUUCCCAUUUAGAAAAUAUCGAAGGCUUUGGUAGGUUUUUCCCACCAGCCAUCUGAUGAAUUUUUUCCCUGCGAGUAAAGCGGUCUGGCUCUCCAGGCGGACCUCGCUGGACUGAAAAGGCUUGUGCACAGUGCGUGAGCCGGCCAGCAAAAGCAGAAAAUUUAAUUUGCAGCUUCAGGAACGCUGCGGAGACAGUGAAAUCUCAUUUGUUUCCCCUUGAUCUGUUGAUCUUUGGGAACUUCAACAUUCUGGCUAUUUUUAUGUUAUCUGAUUUUUAAAGUUUUAUGUGCUUUCGAACUGAUAACCUAAAGUUGAAAUAUUAAAUCUCUAUUCAUAAAUUUCUCAGCCUCUGUUUUACAAAGUUUAAUUUAUAUCCUUUUUGUUUGAUUUGUGUGUGAGAGAGAGAUGAAGAAAUAAGAUUUUUUUCUUUCUCUUUUUUUUUUUUUUUCUUUUUUUGCAUGGCCGUUUUCACCCAGGUCUCUGCUUCUGUUGAUCUCCCAGCCUGGCUAUUUUUAUGUAUAAGAUGAAAUAAGAGUAAAGAGAGAUUCGUAAUGUGUUUUCUUGUCCCAUAAACAAAUUUCUUGUUUUUUUUCUUUAAUUUCAGACAGCUUAUACUGAUUUUGGAACUCUGUAAUUCCAAUGAUGUUUAUGAUUUUUUAAUGCAAAUUCCAUUAAAGCUGUGUGCCGAUAAAGUUUCUGAAGUUCGGUGGCUCUCCUUCAAACUAGUAAGAAAUCAUGACCUUUGAUGAUGUAUAUAAUACAUUUUUAUUCUAAUUUUUAGAACAAGGAAUAUUUAUGUUUCUUUCAUUUUAACUCCUUUAUCCCCCCCGCCCCCGGCCUUAAUUUGUCAAUCGACCCAUGAAAGCGGCUGUUAAGUUUUGAAAUUAGGGACUGUGUUAUAGCUUUAUCAAUCUGUGCGAUAGCUAUCUUUUUUUCUUUGAAGACAGCUGUUUUGUUAAGGCGAAUGCUCGAGUGAUGAAAAUUGUGGACAAAUCACUUUAUAUGUGAAACCCCUUAAACAGUGUCUUCGUGUUUUUCUAAAAAACAGGUUGGGUUUACUCUGUAGCACGGUUUUGUAGAAAAGUACUGAGCAAAGACUCCAGCCUAGACAAGCCGAUGCCAUUUUAUGAGGGCUUAUAUCAGCUGUGAAUACUGAGGGGAAAAAAAACCCACACUUGAAAAUACUGCUUUACUAAGGUACCCUGAUGGCGUUAAAAUUUUAUAAAAAUGACAUGUUCUGAAAGGUAAUGCUUUAGUUAUUAUGCAAGGGGACAUUGUCCAAAAUUUGGAAUCUUAAGAUUAAUAAUGUAUUUGUCUAAUGCCAGUCCCUUUUGAAAUCUCAUUUUUAUGAAGGAUUUUAUAUGCGUGAGUGUGUGUGUGUGUUGCCAUAGAUUUAAACAUCUUUUCCCCUCUGUGUUCUAAUGAUUACUGCGACAAAAAUGACUCUCUCCCAUGCUUAUAGAUUCAUUUUAAAGGUGGGAGGGUGCAUAAAAAUGUCUAGUUUCCAUGUAGAGUAGUACUCAUAAUUCAAAUAGAUGGCAGUAUUUUAAAUUUGCUCGUCUGAUAUUUUUCCCAGGUGGUGGCAAUUCUGCAGAAGUUCCGUUCAAACAGUGAGAGUGCCCUGGGAUUAAAUUUCAUCAAGGAGCUCACGCUAAGAUUCGGGCACUGUUCGAAGUGGGUCGGCAGGCAAGCUUGGGCUUUCAUGUGUCAGGUUAGCACCACCUGGGGGACAUGUCUGCCCUGGACGGAUGUUUGCCACGUGCAUUUCAUGAACAUCAGGAAAAGCAUCCCCGCUCUGGCGGAGGGACUAGCCAGGAACUUGGGGAUCAGCACACCGAACCCUCUUCACCCCCAGGAGAUUGUUGAGCAACCCAGUCAGGCCCAGGGACGUGCCCGGGGUUACCAGCCUGCAUGGGCAUUCAGCCCCUGGAGCAUGACUGAGCAUCUCCUGUGUGCCAGGCACGCCCCGGAUGCUGGGCACAGAGGCGGACAACCUCCUGUGCUCCCAGCACCUCCUGUCUGGUGAGCAGGGCCAGGCGCAGCCCCAUUGCCACGUCCGGUCCAGGGCUGCUCAUCACGGUGUCUCCCCUCAGCAGGGAAGGAGGAGGUUGGGGUGGGGAACAGAGCAAGUCCGGGACCAUUAAGUCUCUUUAAGUGUGAAGUUCAGGGCCUGCUCGGCUCCUUGGGUCACCCUCUCUACUUAGCAUCGUGGGGAUGAGAGUGCGAUUUGUGUCUGGCUGGGGUGGUGGCUGCCAUUUCUUGAUUGCCUCUGAGGGCCAGGCAUCUCAUCCCCCGUCUGAGCCUCAAGAGUAGCAGCUACCCUGUCGUGAGCGGGGCGCGUCCACGUACCUUGUAGACCACUUUCUUUAGAUGAAGGAGUUGAAGCCCAGAGAGGUUAAGUAACUUGUCAAGAUCACACAGGAAGUGUCAAGGCAUGAUUUUUUUCUGCUACAGUGUUAACAACUUUAACUUCCCCUCAUGCACAUAUUCUGUCAAAGGCUGAGGGCACACACAGUGGGAUGAAUCUCCACGAACCCAUCACCCAGCUUCAUCUCAGAGCUGUGAUUGGACCAGACGCUGGGCUCCAGAGGCUCUUUUCUGUCCCUCAGCAGCACCCCAUCGCCUCUGAAGGACUCACCGGUGCCCCCCAUCAGCCUUCGGGGUAUCACGGGGGCGCUUUGGCUGCCGGCUUGGGGCCCUGCGGUGGCUGCAGACUUCAGUGCCACUGUCAAACCCUGCAGGCCAGAGGCCACAGACUUGUCAGGAAGAGGUGGCUCAGAAGAGUGAAGCCAGUAAGGCAGCGGGUUAGGCCCUGAACCUAGGCCUGUGUGACUCAGCAGCCUCUGCCGUCCCCACCGGGUGCUGGGGGGCAGCACUUGUGCCCCAGAACUUGGUCAAGACAGAAAACGUGAACUGUGUUUCUGACCAAAUUCAGUCAUCGAGAUUUUAAAAUUCCGGCGCGCACCCGCACACCGCUCCUCAGACCAGAAGAUCCUGAAAUUGCUAAUUUGGAACAUUCCUGAAGGAGUCGUAAUUUGGAAUGUUCCUGAAGGAGUCGCUCUCGUUUUCUUUUUUCCGCCAUCUGAUCACUCCUGGAGAAUGUCCCCUGUUUGGCCAUGGCCUUCUGUUCGUCCAGGCGGCGGUGAGCAAGGAGGGGAUCCCAGUGGGCCAGGUUGCUGAACGCUUCCUUCCCAGCCCUUUAUGCCUCGCGGCAGAUCCGGUGCCAAACGCAGGAGUUCCGCUCGCCAAGACUCUAAAACAGACACUGUUGGAAAAGGGUGUGCGGACCGUUGCUCUGAGCUUACAGAUUUUAAACCUCAUCAGGCAGCAGCUGGAUUUCUCUUUAGGGAAUUGUGGCCAAUUUUGUGAGAACCUACUUCAGAUGUAUUAUAUAAAUUGAUGUAUUAAUUUGUAUGUAUGCAUAAAACAUGUUAUUCAAUGACUAAGGAAAUUAAUAGUUGUUUUAUAUUUAGUAAACAUAGUCUCACAUGCAAAAUACUACGCGGUGUUCUAGAAAUGAGGGAAACUUUUUCUAUAAAUUGUAAUGACAGAGUUAUGAAAGGCAGUGAAUUUAAGCCUUAACUAUGACUAGGUUUAAAUGGUAUCAACUUUGUAGUCAGUUAUUUUAAACCUGAACAGGGUGUAAUAUAAGACUCUGUCCCCUGGAGAGGUCACAUCUGCACCCCGUGUACAGGAGGACAUCUAUUUUUUUUUUUUUUUUUUUUUUUUUUUUUUGCUUUUUAGAGCUGCUCCGGGCACAUGGAGGUUCCCAGGCUAGGGGUCAAAUUGGAGCUAUAGCCCCUGGCCUAUGCCACAGCCACAGCCACCCCAGAUCCAAGAUGCGUCUGCGACCUACACCACAGCUCAUGGCAAUGUCGGAUCCUUAAUCCACUGAGCAGGGCCAGAGAUCAAACCUGCAACCUCAUGGUUCCUAGUCGGGUUUGUUUCCGCUGAUCCACGACGGGAACUCCUGGGAGAACAUCUCUCCUGCUCUGCAGGCACCUUUCUUGCCUCUUCCCUCCCAUCCUCUGCCCCAUCUUGCUAGCAGCCUGCUUUCCCCCUUCCUGUGGUCUGUGUUGCCCAUUCUUUUGUAUUGGAGAGAAGAAAAUAUUGAAAGAUUUUUAGUUAGAGCUUUAAAAAUAUGCAUACUGGAGUUCCCGUCGUGGUGCAGUGGUUAACGAAUCCGACUAGGAACCAUGAGGUUGCGGGUUCGGUCCCUGCCCUUGCUCAGUGGGUUAACAAUCCGGCGUUGCCGUGAGCUGUGGUGUAGGUUGCAGACGCAGCUCGGAUCCCGCGUUGCUGUGGCUCUGGUGUAGACCGGUGGCUGCAGCUCCGAUUGGACCCCUAGCCUGGGAAUCUCCAUAUGCCCCAGGAGCGGCCCAAGAAAUAGCAAAAAAAAAAAAAAAAAAAAAAAAAAAAAAAAAAUGCAUACCUAUUCUUAGACGUUUGUCUUUAAAAUUUAGGAAAUCCUCUUUGAUUAAAGCAAUUUUAUCAUUUGAAAGGACUUAUCCUGUGAAGAAGUGAUUUGUUGUCCUGAGGUGCGGUUUUUAAAAAAACCCCAAACAAGAGUAUGUUUCAGAACACAGUUCAUGGCACAUGUGACUCAGUUUCCUGCGUUGGCUCACUAGCAUAUUUUAGAAAUGCUGGUAACCCUCAUCUUGAAGUCGUCAAAGAGACCGUCUUAGCUCUGCAGUCUGACCGGGACCAAGACGUUAACUCGUUUGCCACACUGGAGCCAGAGCAGCAGACUGUCACAGACACUGCGGUGCUAGAAACGCGGAAUCAACCACUCCGGUCACACACAGUCCGGUCGAUUCAUGCUUGGCGCCUGUGGCUUGACCGUGUUGAAGGGGACCUGAAGGUCCCGCGCCUGCCUGGGGAGGAAGGGUUUCUGAAACUUUGGUAGCUGUGCACUCAGUUGGCCCCUUCCCCGUCUGCGGUCACAGGGGCUGCCCCCGGGGCGGGCCAGGCCCAUGCUGCGCUCCUGUGCCCCCCUUCCCUUCCGACGGGGAAGUCUGCGAGAAGGUUGCAGAACUGGGCGCCAGCUGGGCGUGGGGUCUCCGAGGCAUCAGACUGCCCACGAGUGUUUGUCUUCUCCAUUACAGGCUAUGUUAUUACCCCCCCCCCCAAUAAGGUGCUUUAUUAGAAGCUUUUAAGUCUUUAAUAGACUUGCAUAUUUGCCUCUUCCCACAUGCUUUCCUAUGAAAUAUAGUUUAUGGUAUUCUAUUUUAUUUUUAACUGAAAUACUGUACAUAUGUAAAUAAUUCUUGACAGGAAGAAAAUCUAUUAAUGUAAUAGUCGCCUCCUAUCAUUGAGCAGGACACAUACAUCAUUUAAAUUUAUGCUCCACUUUGAGUUGCUGCAAAUAUAGCCCAAUCUGUUUACUUUUGAAAAAUGCGAGUUAAAGAAACCUAUUAGGGAGUGAUUUAUGGCAGCCUUUCUAAUAUUGUACUUUUGCUAUAAACUGUCCUUGGAACUUUUCCUCAGCAUUCAUCUCCUCCUCUUCCGGCAGGAACUGUUUCCAUAAGAUAACGUGUCGGCCUUUAAUGGAAGCCUAAAGCAGAAAGGCCUUUCAUUCUUAUAUGGAUGUCUUAUCAUUUGUUUAAGAACUCGGGUGGGGGGGGAUUGAUCACUGAGAAGCGUGGAUGACGACUUUAAAUCUGAUGCUUCAGAAUCUCAGCGAAACAUAGGAAACCAGAGUUCUGACUGGUCUGUGUAGUUUGGCCACAAGUAGCAGUGAUUUGGGGGGGUUCAGUGAUAUAGUCUUCAAAUUGACCUAAGUCCACAGAACUUAGACUUCAUGCUUUUAAAAUUUAGGCUAAGAGAAAGGGACUCUGUAAUUUAAACAGGCUUUACAUUAACAAAUAACUCGAGGUUCUACAAGCAUUUGAUUAAACUCCUUGUACAUACAUACUGAUGUUAUGUUUCUUGUUUCUAUUUUUAUUUUCUCAAAGCCAGGCAUGAGGGGAGGGGGCAGCAGCCCAUUUGGGGUCCGAGAGCUCGCUGCCAAGGGCGUGUUAGCUGUUUCCAUUCUUCCCGUGGCUCUUUUUCUUAUCUUUCUUUUCUUUCUUUCUUUUUAAAAAUAAGAUCUGGAGCUAUAUAUUGAGUUUCCUGGUAUACAGGAUGUUCCUCCCCCAAAUUCCACGGGCUGACUCUGGAAAAAGAAAGGAAGGAAUCUAUACCGUGCCAAAGAAAAUAAGGCACAUGUAUGAGAAUUGCAGAUGGUAACCCAACAUUUUGGCAACUUGAGCAGAGAGUGAGUUAAUACUUUGGAGACUACAUAUAAAGGGGGAAAAAAAUCCAUCCAUCUUAUAUUCAGUACUUGCCUAGAGUAAAUAGAUGGAGCUAUUGUUUUGCUUUGGUAACAAGCAAUUUUUACUUUUUUUAAUUGCCUAGAAAUUGAGAGUGUCAUAUUGUUAAAAAUCUCUUGAUCUAGCAGCAAGUAGACUUCUUCAACUGGAAUCUGGUAUUCUGUUCAGAGCUUCAUUUUUCCAUUAAGAAAAAAAAAUUCGCUUGAAUUUGUGAGGAUGGGUUCGAUUUGCAUAUGAUUUGCCUGCGGAAUCAGAUGUGCUUGUAGAGGUUGUCAAGACUCUUUGGUAAAUAAUCUGACCUUUAAGUUUUGAGUGUCCGUGUUAAGAUUUUUCUGUAACAGGAAUGCCUUUCCAGUGAGAAGACAUUUUUAUGACUGUAUCUUCCCUGCAAAAAGUAUGUUUAAAGCUCACAUUUUAGUCUUGGUUUGUAACAGCUGAGAUGUUUCUAAGAUUGUUCUGGUUGCCCUUGCUGUUCUCAUGGAUUCAGCGCCCUACCCACUGACUGGUCACAGGUGUGGUUGUGAGUGUGUGUGAUUUCACCACCUGACGUCCCCUUCCUGUUGACUUAAACAGCCAGUUUCUUCCCGAGUCAAUGGAAAAGCACCAGCUGGUUUCUUAAAGGGGUCUCAGCGAUAGAACCAUCUCAGCGCCCCCCCCCCCCGUGACAUUUCACCCUUGUUAAGCAUUUUCAUCAGCACCUUUCCCACUCCAAGAAUUCGAGAACGUUUUCAAAGUUGAUGGGUCGUGAUGGAGCUUUGCAGAUUUUCAGAAAGAUCUGUCUUCCACUUCCGGGGUGCGACGUAUGGGGCUUUUUCACUGUCAAGUUGGGCCAGAUCUGCCUAAACGGAGUCCUGUUUCUGCAGUGUGGGUUUUUUUCCGUUCAUGCUAGAAAUGCGAUUUUUAAGCAUGACUAAAGACUGCACUUCACAACUCUCUGCUUUACCCAGCGAUGAUUCACGCAUAAUUCCUCCAGGUAGUUGGCCCCAAAUUGUGCAAUGAUUGUGUUUUAAACAGACACGGAGAAGAGAUCACAGGUGCCUAAACGGCCACAAGCCGCUCCGUUUUCCAGGUUACAGGAACUGACAUUAAGAGCAACUUGGAAGCUGCGAGAAGGAGUUGGGAUGUGGCCGGAGCUGGGUGCGCCGGGACGCGGGGCCUCUGGGCGGCGAUGCCUCUGUAUUGAUCUCAAUAAAUCUCCCUCUUACUUGAGGAA
Sus scrofa (pig) is the source of this 12144-nucleotide non-coding RNA. NCBI's taxonomy places the organism in Eukaryota, Metazoa, Chordata, Mammalia, Artiodactyla, Suidae. The record is from RefSeq and is a predicted model, not a curated record.